GCGGGGCCGAAGAGGCAGCUGGAGCGUGGGAGGUGGGGUUCUGCUGUUCGCGAAUCCAAGUACGAAUCGACACUGCAAGUCUCUGGUUGCGGGGGGUGCUGUGUGCUUCCAUGAAGUACCCACGGGAGCGUUUAACUAGGCAUACACCCAUACGGACGAGGAGAACGUGGGAAGAUUUGACAGCAACAAGAUUUUGAAAGGCACCAAAAAAAAGAAAGGGCAAGUAGUAGAUGAUUUAGCAAACCAAUAAUGGGGAGAGUUCAAAGGCAACAUUAUUUGCACCGUAGGAUCACCAAAAAGUUUAGGACCUGAUAACCUCGGGCACCUCUGGAAGUGGCAGUCCAGUGGAAAACAGAGGUCCUGGAAUUAGGAGAAUUGGAGAAAACUUUCUAAACAGAUCCCCUCCCCCUGCUCUCAGUAACUAGACUACUGACCAUCCCCCUUAAAGAAAAAAGACUGAGUUUUCCUUCUGGACAGGGUAAAACAGAAGGAAGAUUAAGCAACUAUGUACAUACUAAGUAAUAAAACACUUCCACAACCCUAGACUGUAGUCCUUCAGGCUCCUCUAUCCAUGGAUUUCCCAGGCAAGAAUAUUGGAGUUGGCUGCCAUUCCCUUCUCAAGGGAUCUUCCCCACCCAGGGAUCAAACCUGGGUCUCCUGCAUUGCAGGCAGAUUCUGUACUGUCUGAGACACCAGGGAAGCCCAAGACAGGAGGAAGAUUGAGCAAAUAUGUACAUACUGGGUAAUAAAACACUCUCUUCCACAAUCCCAGCCCAAUUUUCCACUUAGCUCCCAAAACAGUAGCUGCCAGGUCUUCAACCUCUCAGCAGGAGAUUAGAAGACUCUUCUUGGGAUCGUGUGAAGAAACAUCUAGAGAUAAUUAAAUCAGGGCUCCCCAGUAAGACAGCCCAGGUAGCAUGUGCUGUGCUCACUUGUUUAGUCACAUCCAGCUCUUUGCAAUGCCAUGGACUAUAGCCCACCAGGCUCUUCUGUCCAUGGAAUUUUCCAGGCAAGAAUACUGGAGUGGGUUGCCAUUUCCUCCUCCAGAGGAUCUUCCAGACACAGGGAUCAAACCUGCGUCUCUGGCAUUGGCAGGCAGGUUCUUUACCACUGAGCCACCUGGGAAGGCCAGGCAGAUCACCCCAUAAUUUAGCUCACAGUCAGCUAGCCCAGAAUUCCCCUGCCACUAGCCCAAAUGUCUCUUCUUGGCCACUGAUCUGGACAUCUAGCCUCAACUCAGCUCAAAAUGAACCCUGAGUGCUCAUGAGCCUCUGGUACUCUUAGUAUUUGCUCCUGCAAACGCACCUCCUGCAAUCAGAGCUGCCGCGCCUGCCGCCCUGUGGGCAACGCCAAGUGUGCCCAGGGGUGGGUCUGCAUACGGGCAGCAGAGACGGGCUGCUGCUGAGCCCAAUGUUGGGAGAGCCUGAUCCCAGACGUAAAUAGAGAAACACCUAUGAAUCUCCACUUACAAUUUUUUUUUUUUUUUACUUUUUUUUUCACUUACAAUUUUUUAUGCUACUACCCAGACCCUCUUGCUACAUUCCUAUUUCCAUGAAAUAUUCGCAUAAAUAUUUUUAUACAAAUUAAUAAUUUUGAACUGUGGUAUUGGAGAAGACUCUUGAGAGCCCCUUGGACUGCAAGGAUAUCAAACCAGUCAAUCCAAAAGGAAAUCAGUUCUGAAUAUUCAUUGGAAGGAUGGAUGCUGAAACUGAAACUCCAAUACUUUGGCCACCUAAGGUGAAGAACUGACUGAUUAGAAAAGACCCUGAUGCUGGGAAAGAAUGAAGGCAGGAGGAGAAGGGCACAACAGAGGAUGAGACGGUUGGAUGGCAUCACCGACUCAAUGGACAUGAGUUUGAGCAAGCUCUGGGAGUUGGUGAUGGACAGAGAAGCCUGGCAUGCUGUAGUCCUUGGUGUUGCAAAGAGUCGAACGUGACUGAGUGACUGAACUGAUUCAUAUAAAAAUAAACUCAUCUAGACAAAAUAUAA
This is a long non-coding RNA of Dama dama (fallow deer), 1989 nucleotides long. RefSeq lists it as uncharacterized. NCBI's taxonomy places the organism in Eukaryota, Metazoa, Chordata, Mammalia, Artiodactyla, Cervidae. The transcript is spliced from 2 exons. The record is from RefSeq and is a predicted model, not a curated record.